CAGCCGCCGCGGUAAUACGUAGGUGGCAAGCGUUGUCCGGAAUUAUUGGGCGUAAAGCAAGCGCAGGCGGUUAGAUAAGUCUGAAGUUAAAGGCUGUGGCCUAACCAUAGUACGCUUUGGAAACUGUUUAACUUGAGUGCAAGAGGGGAGAGUGGAAUUCCAUGUGUAGCGGUGAAAUGCGUUGAGAUCGGAAAGAGCACCAACGGCGAAAGCACUCUGCUGGGCCGACACUGACACUGAGAGACGAAAGCUAGGGGAGCAAAUGGGAUUAGAUACCCGUGUAGUCCCUGUCUCUUAUACA
Molecule: ribosomal RNA, 301 nt
Filed under: uncultured bacterium
Lineage: Bacteria
Description: partial 16S ribosomal RNA
Rfam family: Bacterial small subunit ribosomal RNA
Source: RNAcentral